GAGUGGGCCUGUCACUAGUACGAGAGGACCGUGAUGGACAGACCUCCGGUUACGUUGUGCCGCAGGUGCACCGCCGGUAGCUGAGUCUGGUUCGGAUAAGCGCUGAAAGCAUCUAAGCGCGAAGCCGGCCGCAAGAUGAGAACUCCUUAUAAGGGUCGUCCUAGACCAGGACGUUGAUAGGGUGCAGGUGUAAAGACGGCGACGUCAAAGCCAAGCACUACUAAUUGCCCAAAAACUUUCAUAUA
This 245-nucleotide non-coding RNA is filed under the name Prevotella micans F0438. RNAcentral describes it as "Bacterial large subunit ribosomal RNA". It matches the Rfam family "Bacterial large subunit ribosomal RNA", at positions 2664 to 2925 of the family's 2925-position model. Lineage: Bacteria; Pseudomonadati; Bacteroidota; Bacteroidia; Bacteroidales; Prevotellaceae. The record is from Rfam by way of RNAcentral.